Molecule: transfer RNA, 64 nt
Filed under: Calamaria septentrionalis (Hong Kong dwarf snake)
Lineage: Eukaryota; Metazoa; Chordata; Lepidosauria; Squamata; Calamariidae
Description: tRNA-Ile
Source: RNAcentral
GGAAGCGUGCCCGAGCAAGGACUACACUGAUAGCGUAGAUACGGAGAAUAUCCUCCCGCUUCCC